This is a ribosomal RNA of 535 nucleotides. It matches the Rfam family "Bacterial small subunit ribosomal RNA", at positions 373 to 918 of the family's 1533-position model.
GGGCGCAAGCCUGAUGCAGCGACGCCGCGUGAGGGAUGACGGCCUUCGGGUUGUAAACCUCUUUCGCCAGGGACGAAGCGCAAGUGACGGUACCUGGAGAAGAAGGACCGGCCAACUACGUGCCAGCAGCCGCGGUAAUACGUAGGGUCCGAGCGUUGUCCGGAAUUACUGGGCGUAAAGAGCUCGUAGGUGGUUUGUCGCGUUGUUCGUGAAAACUCACAGCUCAACUGUGGGCGUGCGGGCGAUACGGGCAGACUGGAGUACUGCAGGGGAGACUGGAAUUCCUGGUGUAGCGGUGGAAUGCGCAGAUAUCAGGAGGAACACCGGUGGCGAAGGCGGGUCUCUGGGCAGUAACUGACGCUGAGGAGCGAAAGCGUGGGGAGCGAACAGGAUUAGAUACCCUGGUAGUCCACGCCGUAAACGGUGGGUACUAGGUGUGGGUUUCCUUCCUUGGGAUCCGUGCCGUAGCUAACGCAUUAAGUACCCCGCCUGGGGAGUACGGCCGCAAGGCUAAAACUCAAAGAAAUUGACGGGG